Molecule: ribosomal RNA, 251 nt
Filed under: uncultured bacterium
Lineage: Bacteria
Description: partial 16S ribosomal RNA
Rfam family: Bacterial small subunit ribosomal RNA
Source: RNAcentral
CCUGAGACCGGCGCACGGGUGCGUAACGCGUAUGCAAUCUACCUCUAUCUGGGGGAUAGCCCGAAGAAAUUCGGAUUAACACCGCAUAAAAUCACAGUACGGCAUCGUACAAUGAUCAAAUAUUUAUAGGAUAGGGAUGAGCAUGCGUGUCAUUAGUUAGUUGGCGGGGUAACGGCCCACCAAGACCACGAUGACUAGGGGAUCUGAGAGGAUGACCCCCCACACUGGUACUGAGACACGGACCAGACUCC